GACGAACGCUGGCGGCGUGCUCAACACAUGCAAGUCGAACGGAAAGGCCCUUCUUUUGUGGGGUGCUCGAGUGGCGAACGGGUGAGUAACACGUGAGUAACCUGCCCUUGACUUUGGGAUAACUUCAGGAAACUGGGGCUAAUACCGGAUAGGAGCUCCUGCUGCAUGGUGGGGGUUGGAAAGUUUCGGCGGUUGGGGAUGGACUCGCGGCUUAUCAGCUUGUUGGUGGGGUAGUGGCUUACCAAGGCUUUGACGGGUAGCCGGCCUGAGAGGGUGACCGGCCACAUUGGGACUGAGAUACGGCCCAGACUCCUACGGGAGGCAGCAGUGGGGAAUAUUGCACAAUGGGCGGAAGCCUGAUGCAGCAACGCCGCGUGCGGGAUGACGGCCUUCGGGUUGUAAACCGCUUUCGCCUGUGACGAAGCGUGAGUGACGGUAAUGGGUAAAGAAGCACCGGCUAACUACGUG
Molecule: ribosomal RNA, 468 nt
Filed under: uncultured bacterium
Lineage: Bacteria
Description: partial 16S ribosomal RNA
Rfam family: Bacterial small subunit ribosomal RNA
Source: RNAcentral